RNAcentral lists this ribosomal RNA (474 nucleotides) under Triticum aestivum (bread wheat). Its description in RNAcentral is "partial small subunit ribosomal RNA". The record is from RNAcentral. Lineage: Eukaryota; Viridiplantae; Streptophyta; Magnoliopsida; Poales; Poaceae.
AUGUAUGGAGGGUGGGAGGACCUUCUUCCUAUGGUGUCUGUCAGAAAUUUGGUUUGUGAAAUUUUAGACCACAACCCCCUGCUUCUCUCUGGAGGGGAAGAGGGGCGCGAAGCUCCUAAACCUCGUGAGUUUCAUUUCAAUUUGGCCUGGGUUAAGGAUCAAGAUUUCCUUCCUACGGUCAGUAGGAUCUGGUCGAGGAAGGUUCAUUCCUCUGACCCUAUCGACAUCCUAAAUAUCAAACUAAAAAGAUUUAAGAAUUAUUUCAAAGGGUGGGGGUCAAAUAAAUAUGGUCAUGACAAUAGAAGAAAAGAAGAGCUCAGAUUAGAGCUAGCUAUGUUGGAGGAACUGGAAGAGAGUGGCCCCUUGACCCCUGAGAUGUAUGGUGUCAAAAUUGAUGUAAGUGCGGAGCUGCAUGAACUCCUGGUAAAUGAGGAGAUUUUUUCUUACAGCAAUCCCACGAAAGAUGGCUUCUGA